Molecule: ribosomal RNA, 495 nt
Filed under: uncultured bacterium
Lineage: Bacteria
Description: partial 16S ribosomal RNA
Rfam family: Bacterial small subunit ribosomal RNA
Source: RNAcentral
UGCAGUCGACGGUAACAGGACGCUAGGAUCCCUUCGGGGUGACUUUGUCGCUGACGAGUGGCGGACGGGUGAGUAAUACAUAGGAAUCCACCCAGUAGUGGGGGAUAACUUGGAGAAAUCCAUGCUAAUACCGCAUAUGCCCUACGGGGCAAAGCAGGGGACCCUCGGGCCUUGCGCUAUUGGAUGAGCCUAUGUCGGAUUAGCUUGUGGGGUGGGGUAACGGCCUACCAAGGCAACGAUCCGUAACUGGGUCUGAGAGGAUGAUCAGCCCCACUGGGACUGAAAAACGGCCCAGACUCCUACGGGGAGGGAACAGUGGGGGAUAUUGCACAAUGGGCGCAAGCCUGAUGCAACAAUGCCCCGUGUGUGAAAAAAGCCUGCGGGUUGUAAAGCACUUUUUUUGGGAAAGAAAAAAACGAAGCUAAUACCUUCGGUCUUGACGGGACCCCAAGAAUAAGCACCGGCUAACUCAGUGCCAGCAGCCGCGGUAAUACG